RNAcentral lists this ribosomal RNA (510 nucleotides) under uncultured bacterium. Its description in RNAcentral is "bacterial SSU rRNA". It matches the Rfam family "Bacterial small subunit ribosomal RNA", at positions 15 to 518 of the family's 1533-position model. The record is from RNAcentral.
GAUUCUGGCUCAGGAUGAACGCUAGCUACAGGCUUAACACAUGCAAGUCGAGGGGCAGCAUGGGAGUGCUGCAACUCCGAUGGCGACCGGCGCACGGGUGAGUAACGCGUAUCCAACCUGGCCCUUAGUAGGGAACAGCCCGGCGAAAGUCGGAUUAAUGCCCUAUGUUUUCCAAUGAUGGCAUCUGACUUGGAACAAAGAUUCAUCGCUAAGGGAUGGGGAUGCGUCUGAUUAGCUUGUCGGCGGGUAACGGCCCACCGAGGCGACGAUCAGUAGGGUUCUGAGAGGAAGGUCCCCCACAUUGGUACUGAGACACGGACCAAACUCCUACGGGAGGCAGCAGUGAGGAAUAUUGGUCAAUGGGCGCGAGCCUGAACCAGCCAAGUAGCGUGCCAGGAAGACUGCCCUAUGGGUUGUAAACUGCUUUUAUGCGGGAAUAAAGUCAGGUACGCGUACCUGUUUGUAUGUACCGCAUGAAUAAGGACCGGCUAAUUCCGUGCCAGCAGCCGC